AACGAACGCUGGCGGCAUGCCUAACACAUGCAAGUCGAACGAGACCUUCGGGUCUAGUGGCGCACGGGUGCGUAACGCGUGGGAACCUGCCCUUAGGUUCGGAAUAACUCCCCGAAAGGGGUGCUAAUACCGGAUAAUGUCUUCGGACCAAAGAUUUAUCGCCUUUGGAUGGGCCCGCGUUGGAUUAGCUAGUUGGUAGGUAAAAGCCUACCAAGGCGACGAUCCAUAGCUGGUCUGAGAGGAUGAUCAGCCACACUGGGACUGAGACACGGCCCAGACUCCUACGGGAGGCAGCAGUGGGGAAUAUUGGACAAUGGGCGAAAGCCUGAUCCAGCAAUGCCGCGUGAGUGAUGAAGGCCUUAGGGUUGUAAAGCUCUUUUACCCGGGAUGAUAAUGACAGUACCGGGAGAAUAAGCUCCGGCUAACUCCGU
RNAcentral lists this ribosomal RNA (431 nucleotides) under uncultured bacterium. RNAcentral describes it as "partial 16S ribosomal RNA". It matches the Rfam family "Bacterial small subunit ribosomal RNA", at positions 29 to 506 of the family's 1533-position model. The record is from RNAcentral.